This 460-nucleotide ribosomal RNA is filed under the name uncultured bacterium. RNAcentral describes it as "partial 16S ribosomal RNA". It matches the Rfam family "Bacterial small subunit ribosomal RNA", at positions 338 to 795 of the family's 1533-position model. The record is from RNAcentral.
CCUACGGGUGGCUGCAGUGAGGAAUAUUGGUCAAUGGACGCAAGCCUGAACCAGCCAUGUCGCGUGCAGGAUGACGGCUCUAUGAGUUGUAAACUGCUUUUGUACGGGGGUAAACGCAGAUACGUGUACCUGUCUGAAUGUAUCGUACGAAUAAGGAUCGGCUAACUCCGUGCCAGCAGCCGCGGUAAUACGGAGGAUCCGAGCGUUAUCCGGAUUUAUUGGGUUUAAAGGGUGCGUAGGCGGUCGGAUAAGUUAGAGGUGAAAUCCCGUGGCUCAACCUCAGAAUUGCCUUUGAUACUGGUCGGCUAGAGAAUAGUUGAGGUAGGCGGAAUGUGUGGUGUAGCGGUGAAAUGCUUAGAGAUCAUACAGAACACCGAUUGCGAAGGCAGCUUGCCAAGCUAUUUCUGACGUUGAGGCACGAAAGCGUGGGGAGCAAACAGGAUUAGAUACCCGGGUAGUC